AUGUACCCACGUACACUCUGGUUCCUCCGCGCCGCCCGCACCCACCUGACGGCUGCUCGCUACGUUUUGUUAGCC
This 75-nucleotide small RNA is filed under the name Xanthomonas campestris. RNAcentral describes it as "sRNA sX9". It matches the Rfam family "Xanthomonas sRNA sX9". The record is from RNAcentral. Lineage: Bacteria; Pseudomonadati; Pseudomonadota; Gammaproteobacteria; Lysobacterales; Lysobacteraceae. RNAcentral also lists the same sequence under 3 other names.